GGCUUGGGGUAUUGACAAGAGUGUUAUUAAAAUGUUGGACCUUGGCAUCUAAGUUGGACCAGGAGAAAAGUGAAAAGGAGAGAGCUGAGGAGAGCUCUCUAGGAGAACACGAGGUCAACAGCACAGAGAUCCUAUGAGAUGGAGCCGUGAUCACGAGGACUGAUGACUGAUUGGACAGUGAUGCAGGAGGGAAGGUCUCUGCAUGUCAGUGACUAAGUGACUGAAGAUGACACUGCCUGAGACGGGGAGUAUUGAAGGAGGAGCCAAGGUGGCAGAGUGGAGUGGGGCGAGGAUCACUGUGCAUGUGGGGGCAUGAGGUGAGAAGCCUGCUACAAGGUGCAGCUUACAUCAAGUAGGCCAAACAGCUGAGCUUCUGUGAGGUGGUGUGGACGUGUCUGACCCCCAGCCCCACUCAGGAUGGCACCC
RNAcentral lists this long non-coding RNA (426 nucleotides) under Piliocolobus tephrosceles (Ugandan red Colobus). RNAcentral's name for it is "lncRNA (ENSPTEG00000032862.1)". Lineage: Eukaryota; Metazoa; Chordata; Mammalia; Primates; Cercopithecidae. The record is from RNAcentral.